Molecule: unclassified non-coding RNA, 233 nt
Filed under: uncultured fungus
Lineage: Eukaryota; Fungi
Description: sequence contains ITS1, 5.8S rRNA gene
Rfam family: 5.8S ribosomal RNA (bases 185-233)
Source: RNAcentral
UUUCCGUAGGUGAACCUGCGGAAGGAUCAUUACCGAGUAGCAGAAUCCAACUCAAUCGCGUUGGAGCUCUCUCACCCUUGAGUCACGCUCUUUUGACUUAAUCUGUUUCGGCAGCUGUUCGCAGUUGCCGGCAGAACAUCCAACUCUGAUUAUCGAAAGUCCGAGUCUAAAACAAAUCAAUUAAAACUUUCAACAACGGAUCUCUUGGUUCUGGCAUCGAUGAAGAACGCAGC